UUUGAACCGUAAGCGAACGGUAAAUGAUUCAAUAAUCAAACUUUAAUUCCACUUAAUAAACACAAUUAAACCGAAUAAAUUAGAUUUUCGUCUGGCGGCGACGACGAAACAAGUGCCGGUAAAGAGGAGUAGUAGAAGCGCAGAUUGAUGAAGAUCCUUCAUCGUCGAGAAUUCGACGAACCGUGUGGACUCAUCGAGUCCUAUCUAGUUGAUUCGAUGGGACGUCAGACGCGUGACCGAUUCAUAUGCAGAACAGGAACGGAAAGGACUCAGAAGUAGUAGUAGCGUUGGGAUAGGGCUUUGUACCGAGGCACACAGGACGAGACGAGACGAGUACGAGGAGCAAGUGAAGUGAAGUAAGCGAUGAGAAUGAUGAUGAAAGUUGCGAGAAUGUGAACGAAUUCAAUGAAAACUUUAAACACACAUUCGUUGUAAUUGAGUCAAAAUAUUAAAGACCAAGAAGCAGAAGCAAAAAUCGAGUGAUUCACAAUACGCCAUCGACCAACCACAAACCACAUCCGGUUUUGGUGAACAACAGACAUUGAGCAGUAGUGGUUUUGGACCAAAGUAACGGGCGCCUCUCACGACGAUAUCGAAGCGUGCGGCAUAACGAAAAGCACUACCAUAACAUUAUCUUUAAAGUGCGGCAGCGGCGGCGGUAGCAUCCUAAUCUCAGGACAUGUGCACGAAAACCCACUAUUUGGAGAACCCACGCAGUGUUAUUAUAUAUUACGGCAGAAAUAUAAAUACCAAAGACAAAACACAUAAACCACACACUCGAGAGAUAGCGGUCUUUAGUGCGACCAGCUGAGCAUAAAUACGAAGUGCACUAGCUUCAGCUCAAGAUGAGAGUAGCAGUGUAAGAGUAACCAUUAAAGUAAAACGG
Long non-coding RNA from Dalotia coriaria, 886 nucleotides. RefSeq lists it as uncharacterized. The record is from RefSeq and is a predicted model, not a curated record. The transcript is spliced from 3 exons. Lineage: Eukaryota; Metazoa; Arthropoda; Insecta; Coleoptera; Staphylinidae.